AGAGGAGCCUAUGUGAUUGGUGAAAACAGGUCUCAGCUGUGUUAAACCCACUCCAUGCCCUCUCUCCUCCCUCGCUACGACUUACGCCGCUGGGAGGAGCUGAGUUAGCCCGUUGCACCCGACGGUCCCUCUCCCGGGCCGAGAUUUUGCUGCAUAUAUUUAAACGCUGUAAAAAAUGUAUUGAAACUUGACCGCGGUGUUUACUUUCAAUUCUCAAUCAAAGUUUAGACUCUAAUGUUCACAGAACUGGGUCGGAUGUCUGUUUUAGUGUAAACGUUACCUUUUUAUGACGAUUUUAAUCUGUCUUGGUGUCUCUGUCUGGACAUUUAAAUUUUGCGACAUCGACCGAAUCAAAGCUUUACAGUGUAGCGGAGACAGGCUCCGUCCGGCCAUGUCUGUAGUCAUUUGAAAGGGGAGAACCUACUGAAUCGAUUGGCAUCAAUCUUUCCAAAGACUACAUUUCCCAGCUUUGAAAAAAGCCGGGCGUAAAGUGUUCGUAAUCUGUGCGCUUUUAGGUGCAGCGCCCCACAGACGAAGGCAGGAUGCUGCAUCGCACACUGAUCAGUCGGGACUCUCCUGUAAACUUUCUCCACCACUUAUAAAACUUCUCUUGAGUACUUUUCAACCAGGAAAAGAAAAGUUCAACUCUUAGAGGGAUAUGGCGGACAUUUUAUUAGAAAUUCAGCGGGGCUCAGACGGUGAAUUUGAGGACUCGUCUGACUCAGUAAUGGCGUCGGCUCUGAGGAGGAGGCAUUGUUUACAUCAGAAGUGGACCCAGUUUAAUAGUAAGUAUUUGCAUUUGUCUAUAAAGACGUGUUGUGUAAAUUGAUAUGCAUGGAACACCUUUGUCAUAAAACUGUAAACACUGUAGUAAGUAUGGCAAUCCAAUAGCAUCGAAUAUUACUGCAGUUUCACUAUAUCUGUUUAUUUUGGGCUUACUUUGCUUGCAGAUACUGCAUUUUAUCUGUCUUUGAAUAUAUGCUUUAUGAGAAAAAUAAAUGAAGUACAUAUAAAUGCAAACAAAAUAUAGUAGAGCUACUCAAUUUAGUGAAUAAGUUUACAUAUAUCCACAACUUUUGUGUCCAUCAGUGAAAUGUACAAAUGUUGUUUAUUUUUGUUCUGCAUAGUAAUUGAUCACCAUUUUCACAGCCACCAAGAAGAGGGGAGUGAGGCACAUCCACCCCUACCCCCCAUCAGGGGUUUUUCACACCUUCAGUACUCCCUGCACCAGACGCCCCACCCCCACCCUUUCCUGCAAGAAAGGUGACAUUGCUUGUAUCAAGGUUUGUGUACUGAUCAUUUGUUUGAUUCUGGUCUCUAAAAGAAAUAAUACACUCUUUACUGCUUCAAUUAUGCAUUUAUAUGUAUUCAUUACAUUUAAUUUACUCUACCUGUGUUUGCUGUAUUUUAUAUUGUUAUAUAUUGUUUUUAAUGUACAAUAUUUGUUGCACUUUUACUUUUUAUUUUACAUUGUUUGCUCAGAAUGUUUGUUUGUUUCUCUUUUUGCACUUUUUUCAAAUAAAGAUACUCCCUGUGAAGAAAGAAAUGUAGAAGUUCCUGUUAUUUUUCACUAUUCUGUAUUACAUAUAAACAAAUAUAUUGUGCAGAAUGGUAGAAAUUGAUGAGGCAAAAGGUAAAUUUCAUAUCUAAACGCUCCAAUAGGUAGUAGGAGACUAGUCUUAUGGAAAUAAAUUGUAAUUUGGAGCCAGUUCUCAUCAGAGGUAGAAAAUAAUCCAUUUGGCACAUUUUGGCACAAAGUGUGCCAAAUUGUGCCAAACUGAGUCCUCGCCUGGGUGUACCCUUACAAAAACCUUCAUGUAGGCUUUACUGUUUGCUCAAAUUCUAUCAAAUUUGGUACAUUUGUGGUCAAGGAGUGGAUGAAGCUAAUCAAUGUCAUCUGGGGGCCUGGAAUCAUUGCCAGCAUUGUGUUUUCCCCUGUCAAAAAAAGAAAACAUUUUGGCGAGGGUAAAAAAACAUAACUUUUCCUCUGAUUCAUUCCAAUUUACUCAGGCAUAAUGACAGACAAAACACUUCUGACACUUGGAACACAUUCUCUGAAGUCUCUAGAUGUCCAAGGACACCAAGAACAUGCAUAUAACCUUUAGUAAAGUGUAGUAAUUCCUCAUUUACUUUGGGUAUGUCUUUUAGGCGUUUUUCUUUCCUUAAAAUAUGCUAAGGGUAGAACGGGUUAAGGAGGGGGGAUACUUACGCUGGGCUGCGUCGCUCACCAAAAUUCCAAAUUGUGCUUGGGAACGCCUUGUCGGCGCGGCGGACCUGACUUACGCUGCGCCUGCAGCACGUCUCCAGCGAGGCACGAAAUAGAGCCCCAUGUGUUACGGGCUUGUAGAUCGGCUAUUUUCACAAUAUCUAUAUGUGGAACAGAGUCAAACAAAUUAGGGGUUACCCAUUUCAAAUAUGAUUGUUUUGGGGGGGGUCAAGUCCUGAAAAGGUUGAGAAUUACAGUACUAGAUGGCAGCCAUCUUGAAUAUCGCGGUCAAAACAAAGUUGUAUGAUUAAAACUAUGUCAGAUUUGGAAUCCUCAUGCUUGACUUGUAUGGAAAAGUGCCUUCAUACAUGAUUCUAGGUCAUCCAGAUCAAAAGUAAAUUUUUAGAGAUGGCGCCGGCCGCCAUCUUGAAUUUGGCUGUCUAGCAAAAAAUGCCGGGAUUUUUGCGAGGGACCUGGGGGCUAAAUCUUUUCUAAAGGGUCCAUAGAGGUCAAAUCAAUCGUCAAAACAUCCUUGCCAGAGGAUGGUCACAGAAUCUCACUUUGUGACCCAACUA
Molecule: non-coding RNA, 2781 nt
Organism: Xyrichtys novacula (pearly razorfish)
Lineage: Eukaryota; Metazoa; Chordata; Actinopteri; Labriformes; Labridae
Source: the annotation of a GenBank genome assembly